Molecule: non-coding RNA, 45 nt
Organism: Schistosoma haematobium
Lineage: Eukaryota; Metazoa; Platyhelminthes; Trematoda; Strigeidida; Schistosomatidae
Source: Rfam
AUCCAGCUGACGAGUCCCAAGUAAAACAAAACGCUCGUCCUGCAU